RNAcentral lists this ribosomal RNA (425 nucleotides) under uncultured prokaryote. Its description in RNAcentral is "bacterial SSU rRNA". It matches the Rfam family "Bacterial small subunit ribosomal RNA", at positions 357 to 774 of the family's 1533-position model. The record is from RNAcentral.
GGGAAUAUUGGUCAAUGGGCGAAAGCCUGAACCAGCCAUGCCGCGUGGAGGAUGAAGGCCUUCGGGUCGUAAACUCCUUUUCUGAGGGAAGAACAGCCUGGGGAGGAAAUGCCCUGGGUUUGACGGUACCUCAGGAAUAAGCAACGGCCAACUCCGUGCCAGCAGCCGCUGUAAUACGGAGGUUGCAAGCGUUGUUCGGAAUUACUGGGCGUAAAGGGAGCGCAGGCGGCCGAAUCAGUCUGAAGUGAAAUCCCGGAGCUUAACUCCGGACGUGCUUUGGAUACUGUUUGGCUUGAGUUCGCGAGAGGUAAGCGGAAUUCCAGGUGUAGCGGUGAAAUGCGUAGAUAUCUGGAGGAACAUCGGUGGCGAAAGCGGCUUACUGGCGCGAUACUGACGCUGAGGCUCGAAAGCGUGGGGAGCGAACG